CCUUAAGUCUCACUUUCAGUAAAUAUUUCACGGCAUGAAUAUAAUGGAACAGAGGGAUAUGCAUGCAAGGUAGAAAAAAUGAGAGAUAAAAAGAGAAUGUGUUCAAGCGAGGGAGAGAGAGAGAGAGGGGGGGGGGGAGGGGGGGAAUUGCGAAGGAGGAUGAAGAGAGUGAUAUGAAGAAUAUUCACGAAAACAAAAUAUCGUCAAUCAUGAUUCAACAUUACAUAGAAAUAUCACUGAACUCGGCAACUUCAAACACUCCAUCUAUACUAUUCAAUGUGCAAUGUAAUGGUUGUAAAAGACACUUGUCGAUUGAAAACAUACACUGGAAAAAAAUAUGAAUAUAAUGUGAACAGCAAUUAACGCCCUCAAAUUAUUGAUGCGCUGCCAGAAAUUCAAGAGUAUGAAAAAAAUA
This is a long non-coding RNA of Lytechinus variegatus (green sea urchin), 415 nucleotides long. RefSeq lists it as uncharacterized. The transcript is spliced from 2 exons. The record is from RefSeq and is a predicted model, not a curated record. NCBI's taxonomy places the organism in Eukaryota, Metazoa, Echinodermata, Echinoidea, Temnopleuroida, Toxopneustidae.